AUUGAACGCUGGCGGCAUGCCUUACACAUGCAAGUCGAACGGUAACAGGUUAAGCUGACGAGUGGCGAACGGGUGAGUAAUAUAUCGGAACGUGCCCAGUCGUGGGGGAUAACGUAGCGAAAGCUACGCUAAUACCGCAUACGAUCUACGGAUGAAAGCGGGGGAUCGCAAGACCUCGCGCGAUUGGAGCGGCCGAUAUCAGAUUAGGUUGUUGGUGAGGUAAAAGCUCACCAAGCCUGCGAUCUGUAGCUGGUCUGAGAGGACGACCAGCCACACUGGAACUGAGACACGGUCCAGACUCCUACGGGAGGCAGCAGUGGGGAAUUUUGGACAAUGGACGCAAGUCUGAUCCAGCAAUGCCGCGUGUGUGAAGAAGGUCUUCGGAUUGUAAAGCACUUUAAGUCGGGAGGAAGGACUGUAGGCUAAUACCUUGCAGUUUUGACGUUACCGACAGAAUAAGCACCGGCUAACUUCGUGCCAGCAGCCGCCGUAA
RNAcentral lists this ribosomal RNA (493 nucleotides) under uncultured bacterium. RNAcentral's name for it is "partial 16S ribosomal RNA". It matches the Rfam family "Bacterial small subunit ribosomal RNA", at positions 30 to 523 of the family's 1533-position model. The record is from RNAcentral.